CUUCGGAGUGAGAGCGUACACAGGUGCUGCAUGGCUGUCGUCAGCUCGUGUCGUGAGAUGUUGGGUUAAGUCCCGCAACGAGCGCAACCCUGCAUUCAGUUGCCAUCGGUAAGGCCGGGCACUCUGGGAUGGACUGCCGGCGACAAGCCGGAGGAAGGUGGGGACGACGGUCAAGUCAUCAUGGCCCUUAUGUCCAGGGCGACACACGUGCUACAAUGGCCGGCACAACGGGAAGCGAAGGGGCGACCCUGAGCGGAUCCCACAAAAGCCGGUCUCAGUUCGGAUUGCAGUCUGCAACUCGACUGCAUGAAGUUGGAAUCGCUAGUAAUCGUGGAUCAGCCAAGCCGCGGUGAAUACGUUCCCGGGCCUU
This 370-nucleotide ribosomal RNA is filed under the name uncultured Thermovirga sp. RNAcentral's name for it is "bacterial SSU rRNA". It matches the Rfam family "Bacterial small subunit ribosomal RNA", at positions 1014 to 1382 of the family's 1533-position model. The record is from RNAcentral. Lineage: Bacteria; Thermotogati; Synergistota; Synergistia; Synergistales; Thermovirgaceae.